This 408-nucleotide ribosomal RNA is filed under the name uncultured bacterium. Its description in RNAcentral is "partial 16S ribosomal RNA". It matches the Rfam family "Bacterial small subunit ribosomal RNA", at positions 28 to 526 of the family's 1533-position model. The record is from RNAcentral.
GACGAACGCUGGCGGCGUGCUUAACACAUGCAAGUCGAACGAAGUGGCGAACGGGUGAGUAACGCGUAAUCAACCUGCCCUUCAGAGGGGGAUAACAGUUGGAAACGACUGCUAAUACCGCAUACUGAGGGAGGGGAUUGCGUCUGAUUAGCUAGUUGGGGGGGUAACGGCCCACCAAGGCGAAGACCAGUAGCCGGGCCGAGGGGAUGGACGGGCACAAUGGGACUGAGACACGGCCCAGACUUCUACGGGAGGCAGCAGUGGGGAAACUUCCGCAAUGGAAGGAAGGCUGACGGAGCAACGCCGCGUGAGUGAUGACGGGCUUCGGGUUGUAAAGCUCUGUUAAUCGGGACGCGGUACCUGACUAGAAAGCCACGGCUAACUACGUGCCAGCAGCCGCGGUAAUUC